This 493-nucleotide ribosomal RNA is filed under the name uncultured bacterium. RNAcentral describes it as "partial 16S ribosomal RNA". It matches the Rfam family "Bacterial small subunit ribosomal RNA", at positions 30 to 523 of the family's 1533-position model. The record is from RNAcentral.
AUUGAACGCUGGCGGCAUGCUUUACACAUGCAAGUCGAACGGUAACAGGUUAAGCUGACGAGUGGCGAACGGGUGAGUAAUGCAUCGGAACGUGCCCGGUCGUGGGGGAUAACGCAGCGAAAGCUGCGCUAAUACCGCAUACGAUCUGAGGAUGAAAGCGGGGGACCGUAAGGCCUCGCGCGAUCGGAGCGGCCGAUGUCAGAUUAGGUAGUUGGUGGGGUAAAGGCUCACCAAGCCAACGAUCUGUAGCUGGUCUGAGAGGACGACCAGCCACACUGGGACUGCGACACGGCCCAGACUCGUACGGGAGGCAGCAGUGGGGAAUUUUGGACAAUGGGCGAAAGCCUGAUCCAGCCAUGCCGCGUGCAGGAUGAAGGCCUUCGGGUGGUAAACUGCUUUUGUACGGAGCGAAAAGACUCUUUCUAAUAAAGAGGGUCCAUGACGGUACCGUAAGAAUAAGCACCGGCUAACUACGUGCCAGCCGCCGCCGUAA